Molecule: ribosomal RNA, 521 nt
Filed under: uncultured marine eukaryote
Lineage: Eukaryota
Description: bacterial SSU rRNA
Rfam family: Eukaryotic small subunit ribosomal RNA
Source: RNAcentral
AGUUGGAUUUUGCAGGAGGGCGCACGACCGGGCUUUGCUCAGGCCGCGCGCCUACCUGUUUUUUGUCGGGGACUACGCCACUCUUAACUGGGGGGCGCUAGGACGCGGCUCGUUUACUUUGAAAAAAUUAGAGUGUUCAAAGCAGGCCUUUGCUUGAAUACAUUAGCAUGGAAUAAUGGAAUAGGACUUUGGUUCUAUUUUGUUGGUUUCUGGAACCGAAGUAAUGAUUAAUAGGGAUAGUUGGGGGCGUUUAUAUUUCCAUGUCAGAGGUGAAAUUCUUGGAUUUUGGAAAGAUAAACUUCUGCGAAAGCAUUCGCCAAGGAUGUUUUCAUUAAUCAAGAACGAAAGUUAGGGGAUCGAAGACGAUCAGAUACCGUCGUAGUCUUAACCAUAAACUAUGCCGACUAGGGAUCAGUGGACGUUAUUUUAUGACUCCACUGGCACCUUGUGAGAAAUCAAAGUUUUUGGGUUCCGGGGGGAGUAUGGUCGCAAGGCUGAAACUUGAAGGAAUUGACGGAAGG